Molecule: ribosomal RNA, 484 nt
Filed under: uncultured bacterium
Lineage: Bacteria
Description: partial 16S ribosomal RNA
Rfam family: Bacterial small subunit ribosomal RNA
Source: RNAcentral
AUUGAACGCUGGCGGCAGGCCUAACACAUGCAAGUCGAGCGGAUGAAGGGAGCUUGCUCCUGGAUUCAGCGGCGGACGGGUGAGUAAUGCCUAGGAAUCUGCCUGGUAGUGGGGGAUAACGUCCGGAAACGGGCGCUAAUACCGCAUACGUCCUGAGGGAGAAAGUGGGGGAUCUUCGGACCUCACGCUAUCAGAUGAGCCUAGGUCGGAUUAGCUAGUUGGAGGGGUAAAGGCCUACCAAGGCGACGAUCCGUAACUGGUCUGAGAGGAUGAUCAGUCACACUGGAACUGAGACACGGUCCAGACUCCUACGGGAGGCAGCAGUGGGGAAUAUUGGACAAUGGGCGAAAGCCUGAUCCAGCCACGCCGCGUGUGUGAAGAAGGUCUUCGGAUUGUAAAGCACUUUAAGUUGGGAGGAAGGGCAGUAAGUUAAUACCUUGCUGUUUUGACGUUACCAACAGAAUAAGCACCGGCUAACUUCGUG